CACAAAUUUCUUUCAUGCUCCUGCUCCCUAGAGGAACAAUUGUCCUUACUUCAACACCAUGUUCGUUGCCAUGGGAAGUUUUGUUGGAGGCAGCAGUGUGCCCAGUUAAAAGAGUACAAUUUUCUAGGCAUGUGAACAAGUUCUGGUCCAACCACCCCCUUCCUGCUUCCUGUCUGGAAUGUCGACCUGAUGGUUCCAACAUAAACAAGAAAAUUCCCAGCAGACUUCCCCUUACAUCACAGGCCAGAACUGGGGCCCCAAGGAAGGCUGAGAAUGCAAGUACUUAGCAUCUUUUUGCCUCUACUGUGAGAGACAGCCCUGCCAGCAAGGAAGACGCGAGAGUUGGUAUGACCUUGGGAAGACAGCCAACAGUGUCUGCCACAGGGACCUUGUAGCUAUGGUCACUGCAUGUACCUUGCCGAUUUCUUAUGGCCAUUGAGCUAAAAUGUGGAGUGUGCAAUGUUACAUGAAGCAUGAGGAAGAUGAGAGAGUGGAAAAUACGUGGCUGGCAUAGAAAGGCAGUUUGAUGAAUGGGUAAACUUCAAGAAUCUGAAAAGUUGUAAACUAUCCCUAGUCCACAAAACUAUUCAAAUCAGCAGGACAAAACUGCCAG
Molecule: long non-coding RNA, 613 nt
Organism: Rhinolophus ferrumequinum (greater horseshoe bat)
Lineage: Eukaryota; Metazoa; Chordata; Mammalia; Chiroptera; Rhinolophidae
Exons: 3
Source: RefSeq, a predicted model, not a curated record